AUACGUAGGGAGCGAGCGUUGUCCGGAAUUACUGGGUGUAAAGGGUGCGUAGGCGGGACUGCAAGUCAGAUGUGAAAUGCCGGGGCGCAACCCCGGAGCUGCAUUUGAAACUGUGGAUCUUGAGUGGGGUAGAGGUAAGCGGAAUUCCUAGUGUAGCGGUGAAAUGCGUAGAUAUUAGGAGGAACAUCGGUGGCGAAGGCGGCUUACUGGGCCUUUACUGACGCUGAGGCACGAAAGCGUGGGGAGCAAACAGGAUUAGAUACCCUGGUAGUCCACGCUGUAAACGAUGAUGACUAGGUGUGGGGGGACUGAACCCUUCCGUGCCGCAGUUAACACAAUAAGUCAUCCACCUGGGGAGUACGGCCGCAAGGUUGAAACUCAAAUGAAUUGACGGGG
This 396-nucleotide ribosomal RNA is filed under the name uncultured bacterium. Its description in RNAcentral is "partial 16S ribosomal RNA". It matches the Rfam family "Bacterial small subunit ribosomal RNA", at positions 523 to 918 of the family's 1533-position model. The record is from RNAcentral.